RNAcentral lists this ribosomal RNA (468 nucleotides) under uncultured bacterium. RNAcentral describes it as "partial 16S ribosomal RNA". It matches the Rfam family "Bacterial small subunit ribosomal RNA", at positions 28 to 507 of the family's 1533-position model. The record is from RNAcentral.
GACGAACGCUGGCGGCGUGCUUAACACAUGCAAGUCGAACGGAAAGGCCCUGCUUUUGUGUGGUGCUCGAGUGGCGAACGGGUGAGUAACACGUGAGUAACCUGCCCUUGACUUUGGGAUAACUUCAGGAAACUGGGGCUAAUACCGGAUAGGAGCUCCUGCUGCAUGGUGGGGGUUGGAAAGUUUCGGCGGUUGGGGCUGGACUCGCGGCUUAUCAGCUUGUUGGUGGGGUAGUGACUUACCAAGGCUUUGACGGGUAGCCGGCCUGAGAGGGUGAACGGCCACCUUGGGACUGAGAUACGGCCCAGACUCCUACGGGAGGCAGCGGUGGAGAGUAUUACACAAUGGGCGGAAGCCUGAUGCAGCAACGCCGCGUGCGGGAUGACGGCCUACGGGUUGUAAACCGCUUUCGCCUGUGACGAAGCGUGAGUGACGGUAAUGGGUCAAGAAGCACCGGCUAACUACGUG